This 399-nucleotide ribosomal RNA is filed under the name uncultured bacterium. Its description in RNAcentral is "bacterial SSU rRNA". It matches the Rfam family "Bacterial small subunit ribosomal RNA", at positions 356 to 773 of the family's 1533-position model. The record is from RNAcentral.
GGGGGAUAUUGCACAAUGGGCGCAAGCCUGAUGCAGCGACGCCGCGUGUGGGAAGACGGCCCUCGGGUUGUAAACCACUGGCUUUGGGGACGAUAAUGACGGUACCCAAGGAGGAAGCUCCGGCUAACUACGUGCCAGCAGCCGCGGUAAUACGUAGGGAGCGAGCGUUGUCCGGAAUUACUGGGUGUAAAGGGAGCGUAGGCGGGAGUGCAAGUUGAAUGUUUAAUCUAUGGGCUCAACCCAUAUCAGCGUUCAAAACUGCAUUUCUUGAGUGAAGUAGAGGUUGGCGGAAUUCCUAGUGUAGCGGUGAAAUGCGUAGAUAUUAGGAGGAACACCAGUGGCGAAGGCGGCCAACUGGGCUUUUACUGACGCUGAGGCUCGAAAGCGUGGGGAGCAAAC